ACGGGAGGCAGCAGUGGGGGAUAUUGCACAAUGGAGGAAACUCUGAUGCAGCAACGCCGCGUGAGGGAAGAAGGUCUUCGGAUUGUAAACCUAAGUUGUCAGGGACGAAUCAUGACGGUACCUGAAGAGAAAGCUCCGGCUAACUACGUGCCAGCAGCCGCGGUAAUACGUAGGGAGCGAGCGUUGUCCGGAUUUACUGGGGGUAAAGGGUGCGUAGGCGGGUCUGCAAGUCAGGCGUGAAAUCCCACGGCUUAACUGUGGGGCUGCGCUUGAAACUGUAGAUCUUGAGUGAAGUAGAGGCAAGCGGAAUUCCUAGUGUAGCGGUGAAAUGCGUAGAUAUUAGGAGGAACAUCAGUGGCGAAGGCGGCUUUCUGGACGGUAACUGACGCUGAGGCGCGAAAGCGUGGGUAGCAAACAGGAUUAGAUACCCUGGUA
Molecule: ribosomal RNA, 435 nt
Filed under: uncultured Ruminococcus sp.
Lineage: Bacteria; Bacillati; Bacillota; Clostridia; Eubacteriales; Oscillospiraceae
Description: partial 16S ribosomal RNA
Rfam family: Bacterial small subunit ribosomal RNA
Source: RNAcentral